ACGGAGGGUGCAAGCGUUAUCCGGAUUCACUGGGUUUAAAGGGAGCGUAGGCGGGCUGUUAAGUCCGUGGUGAAAGCCCUCAGCUCAACUGAGGAACUGCCAUGGAUACUAUCAGUCUUGAAUGUCGUUGAGGUUUGCGGAAUGGGUCAUGUAGCGGUGAAAUGCUUAGAUAUGACCCGGAACACCAAUUGCGAAGGCAGCAGGCUAAACGAAUAUUGACGCUGAGGCUCGAAAGCGUGGGGAUCAAACAGGAUUAGAUACCCUCCUAGUCCACGCCCUAAACGAUGAUUACUCGACAUACGUGAUAUGACAAUGUGUGUCUGAGCGAAAGCAUUAAGUAAUCCACCUGGGAAGUACGACCGCAAGGUUG
Molecule: ribosomal RNA, 370 nt
Filed under: uncultured bacterium
Lineage: Bacteria
Description: bacterial SSU rRNA
Rfam family: Bacterial small subunit ribosomal RNA
Source: RNAcentral